RNAcentral lists this small RNA (16 nucleotides) under Arabidopsis thaliana (thale cress). RNAcentral's name for it is "ATSL302860". The record is from RNAcentral. Lineage: Eukaryota; Viridiplantae; Streptophyta; Magnoliopsida; Brassicales; Brassicaceae.
AUAAAGAGGAAGAUAG